Molecule: ribosomal RNA, 497 nt
Filed under: uncultured bacterium
Lineage: Bacteria
Description: partial 16S ribosomal RNA
Rfam family: Bacterial small subunit ribosomal RNA
Source: RNAcentral
GAUGAACGCUGGCGGCGUGCCUAAUACAUGCAAGUCGAGCGAACAGACGAGGAGCUUGCUCCUCUGACGUUAGCGGCGGACGGGUGAGUAACACGUGGAUAACCUACCUAUAAGACUGGGAUAACUUCGGGAAACCGGAGCUAAUACCGGAUAAUAUAUUGAACCGCAUGGUUCAAUAGUGAAAGACGGUUUUGCUGUCUCUUAUAGAUGGAUCCGCGCCGCAUUAGCUAGUUGGUAAGGUAACGGCUUACCAAGGCGACGAUGCGUAGCCGACCUGAGAGGGUGAUCGGCCACACUGGAACGGAGACACGGUCCAGACUACUACGGGAGGAAGCAGUAGGGAAUAUUCCGCAAUGGGCGAAAGCCUGACGGAGCAACGCCGCGUGAGUGAUGAAGGUCUUCGGAUCGUAAAACUCUGUUAUUAGGGAAGAACAAAUGUGUAAGUAACUAUGCACGUCUUGACGGUACCUAAUCAGAAAGCCACGGCUAACUACGUG